This 497-nucleotide ribosomal RNA is filed under the name uncultured bacterium. Its description in RNAcentral is "partial 16S ribosomal RNA". It matches the Rfam family "Bacterial small subunit ribosomal RNA", at positions 28 to 507 of the family's 1533-position model. The record is from RNAcentral.
GAUGAACGCUGGCGGCGUGCCUAAUACAUGCAAGUCGAGCGAACAGACGAGGAGCUUGCUCCUCUGAUGUUAGCGGCGGACGGGUGAGUAACACGUGGAUAACCUACCUAUAAGACUGGGAUAACUUCGGGAAACCGGAGCUAAUACCGGAUAACAUGUUGAACCGCAUGGUUCAACAGUGAGAGACGGUCUUGCUGUCACUUAUAGAUGGAUCCGCGCCGCAUUAGCUAGUUGGUAAGGUAACGGCUUACCAAGGCAACGAUGCGUAGCCGACCUGAGAGGGUGAUCGGCCACACUGGAACUGAGACACGGUCCAGACUCCUACGGGAGGCAGCAGUAGGGAAUCUUCCGCAAUGGGCGAAAGCCUGACGGAGCAACGCCGCGUGAGUGAAGAAGGUCUUCGGAUCGUAAAACUCUGUUAUUAGGGAAGAACAAAUGUGUAAGUAACUAUGCACGUCUUGACGGUACCUAAUCAGAAAGCCACGGCUAACUACGUG